AAUCCUUAUAUCGAAGGAUGGAGCCCAGACGGAAGUUGUCCCCACCUCAAACUUGUGCUGCCCUGAUAGACCCAAGGGAGCCCUACAAACUGACAUCAGGAAGCUGGACUGGUGAGUUUUCUUUCCCAGGGAAAAUGGCCAAAGGGAUGUGCCCAGGGGCCCCUGGCCCUGAGCUGGUUCCUCACGGCAAAAAUUCCUUAUAUCGAAGGAUUGAUCCCAGACCAAAGUUGUUCCCUCCUCCAACUUCUUCUGCCCUGAUAGACCCAAGGGAGCCCUAAAAACUGACAUCAGGAACUUGGACUGGCGAGUUUUAUUUCCCAGGGAAAAUGGCCAAAGAAUGUGCCCUGGGGCCCCUGGCCCUGGGCUGGCACCUGACUGCAAAAAAUCCUUAUAUCGAAGGAUGGGGGCCAGUCCAAAGUUGUCGCCACCUCAAACUUGUGCUGCCCUGAUAGACCCAAGGGAGCCCUACAAACUGACAUCAGGAACCUGGACUGGUGAGUUUUCUUUCCCAGGGAAAAUGGAAAAAGGAUGUGCCCAGGGGCCCCUGGCCCUGGGCUGGAACCUGACUACAAGAAUUCCAUACAUCAAAGGAUGGACCCCAGACCGAAAUUGUCCCCACCUCAAAUUUGUGCUGCCUGAUAGACCCAAGGGAUCCGUACAAGCUGACAUCAGGAACCUGGACUGGUGAGUUUUCAUUCCCAGGGAAAAUGGCCAGAGCAUGUGCUCAGAGUCCCUUCCCCGCAGCUGGUGGCUGUCCGUAAAAAAUCCAAACAUCGAAGGAAGUAUCCCAAAAAA
RNAcentral lists this long non-coding RNA (795 nucleotides) under Lonchura striata (white-rumped munia). Its description in RNAcentral is "domestica (Bengalese finch) lncRNA (ENSLSDG00000018220.1)". Lineage: Eukaryota; Metazoa; Chordata; Aves; Passeriformes; Estrildidae. The record is from RNAcentral.